This 569-nucleotide small RNA is filed under the name Pan troglodytes (chimpanzee). RNAcentral's name for it is "retained intron". The record is from RNAcentral. Lineage: Eukaryota; Metazoa; Chordata; Mammalia; Primates; Hominidae.
CCACCUCCCUGUGUGCUGAGGCUUCUAUUAAAAACACAGACAAGAUCAGGCAACCACAGUCAAUCUAAGGGAAAGAGGAAAGUGUAACCAAAGCACAAAUACAUAAAAUAUUGCAAAAAUGCUAUUUAAAAAAAAAAAGAGAAGAGAGGCUCUGAGGUUGUACUAACAGAGAAUGGCCUUGGCUAAUCCAGGAAGACUUCCUGAAAGAGGUUGUUUUUUCCCCAGGUCUGCUUUUGACAUCUCUCUUUUCACAGUGCAUCUGGGUAGUGAGCUUCCUCUCCUCCUUCUUCCUCAGCCUGCCCUAUGGUGUGGCAGUGGGUGUCGCCUUCUCCGUCCUGGUCGUGGUCUUCCAGACUCAGUUUCGAAAUGGCUAUGCACUGGCCCAGGUCAUGGACACUGACAUUUAUGUGAAUCCCAAGACCUAUAAUAGGGCCCAGGAUAUCCAGGGGAUUAAAAUCAUCACGUACUGCUCCCCUCUCUACUUUGCCAACUCAGAGAUCUUCAGGCAAAAGGUCAUUGCCAAGACAGGCAUGGACCCCCAGAAAGUAUUACUAGCCAAGCAAAAAUAC